RNAcentral lists this ribosomal RNA (300 nucleotides) under uncultured Exiguobacterium sp. RNAcentral's name for it is "partial 16S ribosomal RNA". The stretch from base 52 to 300 matches the Rfam family "Bacterial small subunit ribosomal RNA", at positions 547 to 795 of the family's 1533-position model. Lineage: Bacteria; Bacillati; Bacillota; Bacilli; Caryophanales. The record is from RNAcentral.
GCAAAGCGGGGGGGAGGUGGGGCGGGAGUGCGUCGGGUGCGGGGGGUAAUGGGAGUGAGUGGGCGUAAAGCGGGUGCGGGCGGUGGUGCAAGAGAGAUGUGAAAUCCCCGGGGUUAAGCUGGGAAUUGCAUUUGUGACUGCACGGCUAGAGUGUGUCAGAGGGGGGUAGAAUUCCACGUGUAGCAGUGAAAUGCGUAGAUAUGUGGAGGAAUACCGAUGGCGAAGGCAGCCCCCUGGGAUAACACUGACGCUCAUGCACGAAAGCGUGGGGAGCAAACAGGAUUAGAUACCCCUGUAGUC